UACGUAGGGUGCAAGCGUUGUCCGGAAUUAUUGGGCGUAAAGAGCUCGUAGGCGGUCCGUCACGUCGGGCGUGAAAACCCAGGGCUCAACCCUGGGCCUGCGUUCGAUACGGGCGGACUAGAGUUCGGUAGGGGAGACUGGAAUUCCUGGUGUAGCGGUGGAAUGCGCAGAGAUGUGGAGGAACACCGAUGGCGAAGGCAGCCUCCUGGGCCAGCACUGACGCUCAUGCACGAAAGCGUGGGGAGCAAACAGG
This 253-nucleotide ribosomal RNA is filed under the name uncultured bacterium. Its description in RNAcentral is "partial 16S ribosomal RNA". It matches the Rfam family "Bacterial small subunit ribosomal RNA", at positions 524 to 776 of the family's 1533-position model. The record is from RNAcentral.